GAGAGUCAACCGGGAGCUCGGAGGAGGAGCAGACAGGACGUGGGAGAGCUCGGGAGAGACCCAGGCUGGGCGUCUUGCAGCUCAGACCCUUGGCCACCCAAGCAGCGUAGCCGGCAUCACAGCCCACGGCGUGAGGCCACCAAGACAGACAGAGGAGGCUACAACUGAAAACACCAGUCAUAUUACCAAGGCUGUGACCGAAAUCGUGUCUCUGAGAAUGUGCCUCAAGCGUUCCAAGCCUGGCCGGCCGCGCUGGCUCACGCCUAUCAUCCCAGCACUUUGGGAGGCUGAGGUGGGAAGAUCACCUGGUGUCAGGAGUUUGAGACCAGCCUGGCCAACAUGGUGAAACCCCAUCUCUACUAAAAAUACUAAAAUUAGCUGGGCGUGGUGACAGCCGCCUGUAAUCCCAGCUACCUGGGAGGCUGAGACAGGAGAACCGCUUGAACCCGGGAGGCAGAGGUUGAAGUGAGCCAACAUCGCGCCAUUGCGCUCCAGCCUGGGCAACAAGAUCAAAACUCCAUCCCCCCUCCAAAUAAAAAGAAAGUUCCCAGCCUUACAGCGAGAGUAAAUAAAAACUGUCACCAUCUGGCAGGCCCAGGAACCUCAGGGCUAUCGGUCAAAUCUAAAGCCUGCCUUGGUUUGGCUUCUUAGCCUCAAGAGGCCAUUAAAUCUGAGAUUCCCAUCUGAUCAACAUAGGGAGAAAAGCUUAUGUUUCUAAAGAAAAGCUGUAGGCCUGGGUGCAGUGCCUCACGCCUGUAAUCCCAACACUUUGGGAGGCUGAGGUAGGAGGAUCACUUGAGCCCAGGAGUUCGAGACCAGCCUGGGCAAAAUAGAGAGACCCUUAUCUCUAUACUUUUUGAAAAAGGAAAAGAAAAGCUAUAAUACAUCUGUUAGGAGAUUGUAGCUCUGGGCAUUGUAUUUGAGCUCUUAUAUCUACCUACAGACUAGACUAGAUCCUAAAUUCUUCUAGAUUCCUUCAGUCAAAAUUUCUUCCAUGGAAUUACUAAAAAUAAAAACUGCUCUGUUCCUAAAUCCCUAUAAACUGAAACUAGAUGAAUUUUAAGGAACAAGUCUCAUAUCUGACAUAUGGGCCCCACAGGAGUUCACCAAACCAUCCAAUGCCAUAACCACAGACAUUUCACCUGCAAACCAGGCAGAGAAGCUGGCGUUUUCACACUGUAGCCAGGGCUUCCAGUUCAUCGGGACGAGAUUCUGUAUCAGAGACGCCCUCCCUCUUACCGUCUACCUGCUCGUGCCACAGGAUCAUGGUCAUUUAGUUCAUUCAACUGGUGAUCUUAAGCCUAGGUUUGUAGCUCAAAACUGUUAUGCAAACUGGGAUUUUCAUAUUACUAUUAAUUUUACUUUGUAUUUUCCCUUUUUAAACUUUGUGCCUGUUACUUGUUAAAUUUCUGCAGAUGUACACCUCCUAACUGAACAAUGCUGGACCGGCUCUUUGAGAUGAUAGCAAAGACUAUGAAACAAAUAAAACUGAAAUUAAUAAUGGACUCCAGGU
Molecule: long non-coding RNA, 1513 nt
Filed under: Homo sapiens (human)
Lineage: Eukaryota; Metazoa; Chordata; Mammalia; Primates; Hominidae
Description: novel transcript
Source: RNAcentral